This 204-nucleotide ribosomal RNA is filed under the name uncultured Bifidobacterium sp. RNAcentral's name for it is "partial 16S ribosomal RNA". It matches the Rfam family "Bacterial small subunit ribosomal RNA", at positions 314 to 527 of the family's 1533-position model. Lineage: Bacteria; Bacillati; Actinomycetota; Actinomycetes; Bifidobacteriales; Bifidobacteriaceae. The record is from RNAcentral.
UGGGACUGAGAUACGGCCCAGCACUCCUACGGGAGGCAGCAGUGGGGAAUAUUGCACAAUGGGCGCAAGCGUGAUGCAGCGACGCCGCGUGCGGGAUGAGCGGCCUUCGGGUUGUAAACCGCUUUGAUCGGGAGCAAGCCUUCAGGGGAGUGUACCUUUCGAAUAAGCACCGGCUAACUACGUGCCAGCAGCCGCGGUAAUACG